This 359-nucleotide ribosomal RNA is filed under the name uncultured bacterium. RNAcentral describes it as "bacterial SSU rRNA". It matches the Rfam family "Bacterial small subunit ribosomal RNA", at positions 9 to 353 of the family's 1533-position model. The record is from RNAcentral.
GAGUUUUGAUCAUGGCUCAGGAUGAACGCUAGCUACAGGCUUAACACAUGCAAGUCGAGGGGGAAACGACAUCGAAAGCUUGCUUUUUGAUGGGNGUCGACCGGCGCACGGGUGAGUAACGCGUAUCCAACCUGCCCACCACUUGGGGGAUAACCUUGCGAAAGUAAGACUAAUACCCAAUGAUAUCUCUAGAAGACAUCUGAAAGAGAUUAAAGAUUUAUCGGUGAUGGAUGGGGAUGCGUCUGAUUAGCUUGUUGGCGGGGUAACGGCCCACCAAGGCAACGAUCAGUAGGGGUUCUGAGAGGAAGGUCCCCCACAUUGGAACUGAGACACGGUCCAAACUCCUACGGGAGGCAGCA